RNAcentral lists this ribosomal RNA (171 nucleotides) under uncultured Thiothrix sp. RNAcentral's name for it is "partial 16S ribosomal RNA". It matches the Rfam family "Bacterial small subunit ribosomal RNA", at positions 338 to 524 of the family's 1533-position model. Lineage: Bacteria; Pseudomonadati; Pseudomonadota; Gammaproteobacteria; Thiotrichales; Thiotrichaceae. The record is from RNAcentral.
CCUACGGGAGGCAGCAGCCGCGGUAAUAUUGGACAAUGGGCACAAGCCUGAUCCAGCAAUACCGCGUGUGUGAAGAAGGCCUGCGGGUUGUAAAGCACUUUCAGUGGGGAAGAUAAUGACGUUACCCACAGAAGAAGCACCGGCUAACUCCGUGCCAGCAGCCGCGGUAAU